RNAcentral lists this ribosomal RNA (253 nucleotides) under uncultured bacterium. RNAcentral's name for it is "partial 16S ribosomal RNA". It matches the Rfam family "Bacterial small subunit ribosomal RNA", at positions 524 to 776 of the family's 1533-position model. The record is from RNAcentral.
UACAGAGGUCUCAAGCGUUGUUCGGAUUCAUUGGGCGUAAAGGGUGCGUAGGCGGUAGGGUAAGUCUGGUGUGAAAUUCUGGAGCUUAACUUCAGAAAUGCACUGGAUACUGCCCUGCUAGAGGACUGGAGAGGAGAUUGGAAUUCACGGUGUAGCAGUGAAAUGCGUAGAUAUCGUGAGGAAGACCAGUGGCGUAAGCGAAUCUCUGGACAGUUCCUGACGCUGAGGCACGAAGGCCAGGGGAGCAAACGGG